This 26-nucleotide non-coding RNA is filed under the name Cricetulus griseus (Chinese hamster). The record is from RNAcentral. Lineage: Eukaryota; Metazoa; Chordata; Mammalia; Rodentia; Cricetidae.
CCGGGAGUUAGUCGGCAGUUCAGGGA